Molecule: transfer RNA, 72 nt
Filed under: Hypnea edeniana
Lineage: Eukaryota; Rhodophyta; Florideophyceae; Gigartinales; Hypneaceae
Description: tRNA-Asn
Rfam family: tRNA
About the family: Transfer RNA (tRNA) molecules are approximately 80 nucleotides in length.
Source: RNAcentral
UUCUCGGUAGCUUAAAGGUAGAGCGUAUGGCUGUUAACCAUUAAUGUAUAGGUUCGAGUCCUGUUCGGGAAG